This 262-nucleotide ribosomal RNA is filed under the name uncultured bacterium. RNAcentral's name for it is "partial 16S ribosomal RNA". It matches the Rfam family "Bacterial small subunit ribosomal RNA", at positions 514 to 775 of the family's 1533-position model. The record is from RNAcentral.
GCCGCGGUAAUACGGAGGGUGCGAGCGUUGUUCGGAAUUACUGGGCGUAAAGCGCACGUAGGCGGCGAUUUAAGUCAGAGGUGAAAGCCCGGGGCUCAACCCCGGAAUAGCCUUUGAGACUGGAUUGCUAGAAUCACGGAGAGGUGGGUGGAAUUCCGAGUGUAGAGGUGAAAUUCGUAGAUAUUCGGAAGAACACCAGUGGCGAAGGCGGCCCACUGGACGUGUAUUGACGCUGAGGUGCGAAAGCGUGGGGAGCAAACAG